Molecule: ribosomal RNA, 673 nt
Filed under: Salmonella enterica subsp. enterica serovar Panama
Lineage: Bacteria; Pseudomonadati; Pseudomonadota; Gammaproteobacteria; Enterobacterales; Enterobacteriaceae
Description: partial 23S ribosomal RNA
Rfam family: Bacterial large subunit ribosomal RNA
Source: RNAcentral
UGUUUGAUGUUCUAACGUGGACCCGUGAUCCGGGUUGCGGACAGUGUCUGGUGGGUAGUUUGACUGGGGCGGUCUCCUCCUAAAGAGUAACGGAGGAGCACGAAGGUUGGCUAAUCCUGGUCGGACAUCAGGAGGUUAGUGCAAUGGCAUAAGCCAGCUUGACUGCGAGCGUGACGGCGCGAGCAGGUGCGAAAGCAGGUCAUAGUGAUCCGGUGGUUCUGAAUGGAAGGGCCAUCGCUCAACGGAUAAAAGGUACUCCGGGGAUAACAGGCUGAUACCGCCCAAGAGUUCAUAUCGACGGCGGUGUUUGGCACCUCGAUGUCGGCUCAUCACAUCCUGGGGCUGAAGUAGGUCCCAAGGGUAUGGCUGUUCGCCAUUUAAAGUGGUACGCGAGCUGGGUUUAGAACGUCGUGAGACAGUUCGGUCCCUAUCUGCCGUGGGCGCUGGAGAACUGAGGGGGGCUGCUCCUAGUACGAGAGGACCGGAGUGGACGCAUCACUGGUGUUCGGGUUGUCAUGCCAAUGGCACUGCCCGGUAGCUAAAUGCGGAAGAGAUAAGUGCUGAAAGCAUCUAAGCACGAAACUUGCCCCGAGAUGAGUUCUCCCUGAGACUUUAGGUCUCCUGAAGGAACGUUGAAGACGACGACGUUGAUAGGCCGGGUGUGUAAGCGCAG